Amblyraja radiata (thorny skate) is the source of this 218-nucleotide long non-coding RNA. RefSeq lists it as uncharacterized. The record is from RefSeq and is a predicted model, not a curated record. NCBI's taxonomy places the organism in Eukaryota, Metazoa, Chordata, Chondrichthyes, Rajiformes, Rajidae. The transcript is spliced from 3 exons.
GCGAUGGGUGCAGCAACAUUGCUGGAGAACAUGGAUUGGUAAUUCUGGGUUGGGACUCUUCAGACCUUAAACUCUUAAGAUAGUCUAAAUAUAUUGGACUACCUUAAUAUUGGUCCAACCUGUAGGAGUCCUGACUGCAGAGACACAAUGGUCCUGGUUGAAGAUGCAUCUCCAGGCAUUGUCCACAUGUCCAAGUGUUGUUACCUUGAGGACUAGAA